GAUGAUCCCAACUACGUGGAUGAGAGGAAAUCUUCUGUUGAUGAUCCCAAUUGCCUUAAGGAGAAGAAAUCUUCUGCUUCACCAUUUAAAGGUGAAUUUGACCUGAAUGCUAAGCCAGAUAGGGACGACGAGCUUUCACCAGGCUCUGAUUCUGGUAGCAUGAUGCGCAUGAUCAAACGUGCUGCUGAGCAAUAUGUCAGGCACUGUGAUAAUGGAAGUUCCGUGGGUAACCAAAGAGAUGGAGAUGGUGCUGGGGAGACAAAUCCGGGUAAUUGUGUUAUUGUUAGUGGUAGUCAUCAAGCUGAUGUAGAUCAUAAUAGGCCUUUACCCAUAAGCGCUGCUGCAUCUUUGGCACCUAAUGACCAGUAAGUUGCUCCCUACAUGAGGCACCUAAAUUAGCUGUGCUAUAUUAAAAACCAGAGGUACUCCGCAGUGUAUGGAAAUUUGUACAUUUUGGCUUUGCUGGCGUCAUGCAUUGUACAUAGAUAGACGUAGCAAGUAGCAACUGAUGUAAUCUUUCUGCAAUCCACAGGUUGCAUUUUGCAAUGGCCGCG
RNAcentral lists this unclassified non-coding RNA (554 nucleotides) under Hevea brasiliensis (rubber tree). The record is from RNAcentral. Lineage: Eukaryota; Viridiplantae; Streptophyta; Magnoliopsida; Malpighiales; Euphorbiaceae.